RNAcentral lists this long non-coding RNA (202 nucleotides) under Olea europaea (common olive). RNAcentral's name for it is "long non-coding RNA (OEUR_LNC007507)". The record is from RNAcentral. Lineage: Eukaryota; Viridiplantae; Streptophyta; Magnoliopsida; Lamiales; Oleaceae.
AAAAACUACUUAAGUUCAAUGAGAUAAAUAUCCAAAUGCUUUAGCAUCUCUAUAAUGUUCCUUUAGCUAAUAAGCUCACAAAAAUUUAUCUGUUGCACGAAUAACAUCCCUCUUUAAAAGCAAUAUUACAGUAUGCCUUUUGUAUUUUGUUUUCUUUCUAGCUAAUUUUUAGAUCAGGAAUUCUGCCCACUUGCUAAUCUUU